This 327-nucleotide ribosomal RNA is filed under the name uncultured Pseudomonadota bacterium. Its description in RNAcentral is "bacterial SSU rRNA". It matches the Rfam family "Bacterial small subunit ribosomal RNA", at positions 29 to 351 of the family's 1533-position model. Lineage: Bacteria; Pseudomonadati; Pseudomonadota. The record is from RNAcentral.
AGUGAACGCUGGCGGCAGGCCUAACACAUGCAAGUCGAACGGCAGCGCAGCAGUAGCAAUACUGUGGGCGGCGAGUGGCGGACGGGUGAGGAAUACAUCGGAAUCUACCCUGUCGUGGGGGAUAACGUAGGGAAACUUACGCUAAUACCGCAUACGACCCACGGGUGAAAGCGGCGGACCGCAAGGCGUCGCGCGACUGGAUGAGCCGAUGUCCGAUUAGCUAGUUGGCGGGGUAAGAGCCCACCAAGGCGACGAUCGGUAGCUGGUCUGAGAGGAUGAUCAGCCACACUGGAACUGAGACACGGUCCAGACUCCUACGGGAGGCAG